RNAcentral lists this long non-coding RNA (1074 nucleotides) under Crocodylus porosus (Australian saltwater crocodile). RNAcentral's name for it is "lncRNA (ENSCPRG00005015153.1)". The record is from RNAcentral. Lineage: Eukaryota; Metazoa; Chordata; Crocodylia; Crocodylidae.
AUGCAUAUUCUGGCUACUAGACAGCAACUGUCGCACAAUUCUCAGGAAGCAUUUGCAUUUCUUUGUUUUGAAACGAUGACACCCAAAUACGAGAACACCCGCCCCCUCCCCUUGGGCCCUGCCUGCAUCAAGACUGUUUUAGCAGCCCAGAGGCCAAGCCCGGCCCAGCCUCCCUCACCUGAACCCAGGCCCUGCCAGCCAAGCAGCCCCUUUCUCAGCGGCUGCUGUUGCUGUUGCUGUUUCCUCCACCUACUGUGACCUCCCAGCCUAUGCCUUCUUCAGUGGGUUCCAGCUCAGAGUGCAAUUGGAGAAGGCAGAGAGCUUGGCUGGCUUUCUGUCUGUAGCUUGCUACUGGCUACAACUAAAAAAGGUUUCCUGAUGCUCCAGGAGGAGGACCAUGGUCAACAACGUCACUCCUCAGGCACAGUGGAGCUUUUUAGUACCGGUAAAAACUUGUCUGUGUGGGAGACAGGGGUUUUUUGAGGGCUGGUGAAACAACUCCCACAGGAACUAAACAUCAUCACAAACUUCACCACCAUUUGCUCCAAGUGCAGAGUGUGCUUCUUUGACCUUCCCUUCUCCCAUAUAAACACAGAACAGUAUGUACGUUUUGAGGAAAAAAAGGCCUUAAAACAGCAUCACCAGCAUGGGACCUACCAAAACAAAACACUGGUUUGCAUACACAAUUCUACACUUGGCAGAGGAUGAAAAAAGUAUUGAACCACAUCAGAGAUAUUAGUCACAGCACUUAAUACACAGGUACUACAGAGAGGAAGAGAAUGUAAGAACUUUCUAAGAAAGGAAAGAACAAUGCUUAGGAUGCAAAGAAUCUAGAUGAGAUGUAGCCAGGUGAAGAAUGACUGCCAAGUGCACAAGUGACACAGGAGAUGUAUGCCACUUGGCAAGCUUACACGAUUGGUCCAAGAAGUAAUUAAAGAUGAGCCAGUAAGGAAUAAUGCUCAAAAUAUAAGUAUAUAAAACUUUCUCUUGGGAAGGACUGGUCCAGCAGUUGGCAUGAUAAUACAAAACUGAAGAAAAACAGAUAUAAAAUAAAAUAAUAAAAAACAGGAAACA